UAUACCGUGAAACUGCGAAUGGCUCAUUAAAUCAGUUAUCGUUUAUUUGAUAGUACCUUACUACUUGGAUAACCGUGGUAAUUCUAGAGCUAAUACAUGCUAAAAACCCCGACUUCGGAAGGGGUGUAUUUAUUAGAUAAAAAACCAACGCCCUUCGGGGCUUCUUGGUGAUUCAUGAUAACUUUACGGAUCGCAUGGCCUUGCGCCGGCGACGGUUCAUUCAAAUUUCUGCCCUAUCAACUUUCGAUGGUAAGGUAUUGGCUUACCAUGGUUUCAACGGGUAACGGGGAAUUAGGGUUCGAUUCCGGAGAGGGAGCCUGAGAAACGGCUACCACAUCCAAGGAAGGCAGCAGGCGCGCAAAUUACCCAAUCCCGACACGGGGAGGUAGUGACAAUAAAUACUGAUACAGGGCUCUUUUGGGUCUUGUAAUUGGAAUGAGUACAAUUUAAACCUCUUAACGAGGAACAAUUGGAGGGCAAGUCUGGUGCCAGCAGCCGCGGUAAUUCCAGCUCCAAUAGCGUAUAUUAAAGUUGUUGCAGUUAAAAAGCUCGUAGUUGAAACUUGGGUCUGGCUGGCAGGUCCGCCUCACCGCGUGUACUUGUCCGGCCGGGCCUUCCUUCUGGAGAACCUCAUGCCCUUCACUGGGCGUGUUGGGGACCAGGACUUUUACUUUGAAAAAAUUAGAGUGUUCAAAGCAGGCCUUUGCUCGAAUACGUUAGCAUGGAAUAAUAGAAUAGGACGUGCGGUCCUAUUUUGUUGGUUUCUAGGACCGCCGUAAUGAUUAAUAGGGACAGUCGGGGGCAUCAGUAUUCAAUUGUCAGAGGUGAAAUUCUUGGAUUUAUUGAAGACUAACUACUGCGAAAGCAUUUGCCAAGGAUGUUUUCAUUAAUCAGUGAACGAAAGUUAGGGGAUCGAAGACGAUCAGAUACCGUCGUAGUCUUAACCGUAAACUAUGCCGACUAGGGAUCGGGCGAUGUUCUUUUUCUGACUCGCUCGGCACCUUACGAGAAAUCAAAGUU
Molecule: ribosomal RNA, 1020 nt
Filed under: Plenodomus lingam (blackleg of rapeseed fungus)
Lineage: Eukaryota; Fungi; Ascomycota; Dothideomycetes; Pleosporales; Leptosphaeriaceae
Also listed under: 2 other names
Description: SSU rRNA
Rfam family: Eukaryotic small subunit ribosomal RNA
Source: RNAcentral